RNAcentral lists this ribosomal RNA (477 nucleotides) under Mysis microphthalma. RNAcentral's name for it is "eukaryotic LSU rRNA". The stretch from base 414 to 477 matches the Rfam family "Eukaryotic large subunit ribosomal RNA", at positions 1 to 64 of the family's 3401-position model. The record is from RNAcentral. Lineage: Eukaryota; Metazoa; Arthropoda; Malacostraca; Mysida; Mysidae.
CAUCGACAUUUUGAACGCAUAUUGCGCCCACGGCUUAAUUAUUACUAUUGCUGUGGGCACUCCAGAUCGAGGGUCGUAUGACAAAUUUAUUUGUAUCCAUCUGAUUGAUUUGAUUAUCUAUCAGCUUUGAGCUGUCGUGUUUACUUCGGUGAAUUGCGUCGCUUUAAAUUGACCAAGUUCAUUGGCACGGACCAUGGGAAUCCGACUGUCCAAUCGAAUGAGAAAGGCAAGGUAACGACUUCAGUCUGCAACUCAUAGGUUCGUCCNUCGUCAUAUCAUUGACGCCCAACGACCAUUCUGCAUUCCGUGCAUUUGGUUUAUUAUUUCCUUGAACUGAGUUGCAGGUGUGAGACCGAGUUUAUUACCAUUUUGUCUAGAGCUUGCCCGUGGUUGGUGCAUUGCUAACUCUAUCACGACCUCGUUUCGGGAGAGAUUACCCGCCAAAUUUAAGCAUAUCAAUAAGCGGAGGAAAAGAAA